Aegilops tauschii subsp. strangulata is the source of this 579-nucleotide non-coding RNA. NCBI's taxonomy places the organism in Eukaryota, Viridiplantae, Streptophyta, Magnoliopsida, Poales, Poaceae. The record is from RefSeq and is a predicted model, not a curated record.
GUGGCAGGUGGCUCAGUAGCCUGUCUGUGCAACAAUCGGGGCAGAUGUCGAGUUCUAUGCAGAUGUAGAGGAUGGCGUGCGUGUCUUGGAAGGGCCCAACUUCUCCCUGUCUGAAAUUUAUGACAGGAAAAUUGCACAUUCAAUUGAUGUUGUUGGUUAUGGAGCAGUCGAUCCUGGUGGCCGACAAGUUUGGCUGGCCAAGUGCUCAAACGGCAAUUUCCUGUUGAUAGCCAGAGGCAGUGGGGCUUUGGGCAUCAAUAGGAGCAUCUCAUUCCCCAUAAGAGUGUCGUGCACGAGAGAGGUCGUCAAUGUUACAGUGAAAUCUGACGAGGAGCUGGGGGCAGAACCGCGUACCAACUUAUACCCUUACUAGUGAUAUAAUCUUGUACUUAUAUAUGUCACUAUCUGGGUACUUUGUAUUGAUGGCAGAUACUACUUAUGUAGUAAUUUAAUCUUUGUACUUAUCUCAGUAAUGAUUAGUGUGCUGAGGGUGUAUCUAUGUCACUAGGUACUUGUGUACUGCUCACAGAUACUACUUACUACUAUGUAGUAAUCCAAUUUUGGUACUUAUCACAGUAA